GUUCAAUUUAAAAAGUGAUGAAGAUCAAACUCAAUAAUAAGAUCAUCAAUUUUUUUAAUAUUUAUUUUUUUAGUUGUCAUUGGACCCAAUAUCUUUAUUUUAUUUAUUUAUUUUUAUGUGGUGCUGAGGAUUGAAUCCACGGCCUUGCACUUGCUAGGCAAGCACUCUACCACUGAGCCACAAUCCCAGCCUCUGGAGCACCCAGUUUUUAAAAUGGGCUCAAGAUCUGAAUAGGCAGUUCUUCAAAAAAGAUAUACAAAUGUUCAAUAAGCACAUAAAAAGAUGUUCAACAUCAUUAGUCAUCAGGGAAAUGCAAAUCAAAACCAUAAUGAGAUACCAUUUCACACAUGGUAGGAUAACCAUAAUAAUUUAAAAAAAUGUUGAUGAAGAUACGGUGAUUUGGAACCCUUAUCCUUUGCUGUUGACAAUAUAAAAUGAAAUGGCUGUUUUGGAAAACCGUCUGGCAGUUCCUGAAAAGGCUAAACAGGAUAAACAGCACCUGGAAUACCAGUUGCAAUAGACUACUAUAAUUCCACUCCUAGAAAUAUACCCAAGGAAUGAAAACAUGUU
Molecule: long non-coding RNA, 570 nt
Filed under: Marmota monax (woodchuck)
Lineage: Eukaryota; Metazoa; Chordata; Mammalia; Rodentia; Sciuridae
Source: RNAcentral